This 432-nucleotide ribosomal RNA is filed under the name uncultured bacterium. RNAcentral's name for it is "partial 16S ribosomal RNA". It matches the Rfam family "Bacterial small subunit ribosomal RNA", at positions 29 to 506 of the family's 1533-position model. The record is from RNAcentral.
AACGAACGCUGGCGGCAUGCCUAACACAUGCAAGUCGAACGAGACCUUCGGGUCUAGUGGCGCACGGGUGCGUAACGCGUGGGAACCUGCCCUUAGGUUCGGAAUAACUCCCCGAAAGGGGUGCUAAUACCGGAUAAUGUCUUCGGACCAAAGAUUUAUCGCCUUUGGAUGGGCCCGCGUUGGAUUAGCUAGUUGGUAGGGUAAAAGCCUACCAAGGCGACGAUCCAUAGCUGGUCUGAGAGGAUGAUCAGCCACACUGGGACUGAGACACGGCCCAGACUCCUCCGGGAGGCAGCAGUGGGGAAUAUUGGAAAAGGGGCGAAAGCCUGAUCCAGAAAUGCCGGGUAAGUGAUGAAGGCCUUAGGGUGGUAAAGCUCUUUUACCCGGGAUGAUAAUAACAGUACCGGGAGAAUAAGCCCCGGCUAACUCCGU